GCCCACAAACAGCUCAUGGUCUGGUAGGAGCGACAUACAGACACAGAAAGUUGUCAUGAGUAAGCGCUCGACAGAGCUUGAUAAAGGGUGCCCUAGAACGCAGAGAAGAGCUCAUAGCGUGGGAGGAGUUGAUGUGGAUCAUUGGAAAAUACAGUCUGCCACAAAUGGACAGAAACGAAAGUCUCCUCAUAGAUAGUUAAGCUUCAUCCAUGAAGUCCUGCAACAUUUUUGGUGCCCAAUGUGGGGCUCAAAAAGCGGCCAUCAGACUCCAAACAGUCAUGCAACUGGAGCCUUUGAGGAUGACCCCUUCUGCCGGGGACCCUUAGGUCAGCCUCUAGAGAAGCUUUGACUGCUGUUUCCCCAAAACAGCGCCCCCUGCCAUCAGGAAGCAAGCUGAUCAAGGAGAGAAGAUUAGGCAUGGAUAUUCAGUUUAAAAUGGUAAAGAACCAUAAUAAUACCUACCUUGAAGUGAUGAUAUAAACUACAUGACACAGAGUACUUGCUUCACACAGUGUUGGAACACACAGAGCUGCCACCUGGAAAUCCCUGCUCAUCUAAGGGUUGCAUCUAGACUCUG
This 577-nucleotide non-coding RNA is filed under the name Pan troglodytes (chimpanzee). Lineage: Eukaryota; Metazoa; Chordata; Mammalia; Primates; Hominidae. The record is from RNAcentral.